UCUCUGUAGCGCAUUGGGUUACACCUUGGACUUCUAAUCCAAAGGUCGUGGGUUCGAAUACCACCUGGAAAU
This is a non-coding RNA of Trichonephila inaurata madagascariensis, 72 nucleotides long. The record is from the annotation of a GenBank genome assembly. NCBI's taxonomy places the organism in Eukaryota, Metazoa, Arthropoda, Arachnida, Araneae, Nephilidae.